CCUACGGGUGGCAGCAGUGAGGAAUAUUGGUCAAUGGACGAGAGUCUGAACCAGCCAAGUAGCGUGAAGGCUGACUGCCCUAUGGGUUGUAAACUUCUUUUAUAUGGGAAUAAAAUGUUCCACGUGUGGGAUUUUGUAUGUACCAUAUGAAUAAGGAUCGGCUAACUCCGUGCCAGCAGCCGCGGUAAUACGGAGGAUCCGAGCGUUCUCCGGAUUUAUUGGGUUUAAAGGGAGCGUAGGUGGAUUGUUAAGUCAGUUGUGAAAGUUUGCGGCUCAACCGUAAAAUUGCAGUUGAAACUGGCAGUCUUGAGUACAGUAGAGGUGGGCGGAAUUCGUGGUGUAGCGGUGAAAUGCUUAGAUAUCACGAAGAACUCCGAUUGCGAAGGCAGUUCACUGGACUGCAACUGACACUGAGGCUCGAAAGUGUGGGUAUCAAACAGGAUUAGAUACCCCUGUAGUC
This 460-nucleotide ribosomal RNA is filed under the name uncultured bacterium. RNAcentral's name for it is "partial 16S ribosomal RNA". It matches the Rfam family "Bacterial small subunit ribosomal RNA", at positions 338 to 795 of the family's 1533-position model. The record is from RNAcentral.